Molecule: ribosomal RNA, 465 nt
Filed under: Vreelandella stevensii
Lineage: Bacteria; Pseudomonadati; Pseudomonadota; Gammaproteobacteria; Oceanospirillales; Halomonadaceae
Description: partial 16S ribosomal RNA
Rfam family: Bacterial small subunit ribosomal RNA
Source: RNAcentral
CCUACGGGGAGCUGCAGUGGGGAAUAUUGGACAAUGGGCGAAAGCCUGAUCCAGCCAUGCCGCGUGUGUGAAGAAGGCCUUCGGGUUGUAAAGCACUUUCAGUGGGGAAGAAAGCCUUGGGGCUAAUACCCUCGAGGAAGGACAUCACCCACAGAAGAAGCACCGGCUAACUCCGUGCCAGCAGCCGCGGUAAUACGGAGGGUGCGAGCGUUAAUCGGAAUUACUGGGCGUAAAGCGGGCGUAGGCGGUCUGAUAAGCCGGUUGUGAAAGCCCCGGGCUCAACCUGGGAACGGCAUCCGGAACUGUCAGGCUAGAGUGCAGGAGAGGAAGGUAGAAUUCCCGGUGUAGCGGUGAAAUGCGUAGAGAUCGGGAGGAAUACCAGUGGCGAAGGCGGCCUUCUGGACUGACACUGACGCUGAGGUGCGAAAGCGUGGGUAGCAAACAGGAUUAGAUACCCCGGUAGUC